GAAUCCCACAGGCCGUAAACCCAAGGUUUCCAGGGGAAGGUUCGUCCGCCCUGGGUUAGUCGGGACCUAAGCUGAGGCCGAAAGGCGUAGGGGAUGGACAACAGGUUGAUAUUCCUGUACUACCGAUAACCGUUUGAGAGAAGGGAUGACACAGUAGGAUAAGCUAAGCACACUGUUGGUUAUGUGUGCCCAAGCAUUGAGGCAGUCAAAGUAGGCAAAUCCGCUUUGAUAAUGCUGGGAUGUGAUGGGGAGCGAAAUUUAGUAGCGAAGUAGCUGAUUUCACACUGUCAAGAAAAGUCUCUAUCGAGGUUAAAGGUACCCGUACCGCAAACCGACACAGGUGGGUGAGGAGAGUAUCCUAAGGCCAGCGAGAGAACUGUUGUUAAGGAACUCGGCAAAAUGACCCCGUAACUUAGGGAUAAGGGGUGCCACCAUCAGGUGGCCGCAGAGAAUAGGCCCAAGCGACUGUUUACCAAAAACAUAGGUUUCUGCUAAGUCGCAAGACGAUGUAUAGGAGCUGACGCCUGCCCGGUGCUGGAAGGUUAAGGGGAUCUGUUAGAGCAAUCGAAGCAGUGAACUUAAGCCCCAGUAAACGGCGGCCGUAACUAUAACGGUCCUAAGGUAGCGAAAUUCCUUGUCGGGUAAGUUCCGACCCGCACGAAAGGCGUAACGAUUUGGGCACUGUC
RNAcentral lists this ribosomal RNA (686 nucleotides) under Clostridioides difficile. Its description in RNAcentral is "bacterial LSU rRNA". It matches the Rfam family "Bacterial large subunit ribosomal RNA", at positions 1325 to 2020 of the family's 2925-position model. Lineage: Bacteria; Bacillati; Bacillota; Clostridia; Peptostreptococcales; Peptostreptococcaceae. The record is from RNAcentral.